This 749-nucleotide long non-coding RNA is filed under the name Homo sapiens (human). Its description in RNAcentral is "HSALNT0341166". The record is from RNAcentral. Lineage: Eukaryota; Metazoa; Chordata; Mammalia; Primates; Hominidae.
UUCUGCGAGAAAGUAAACUUUGGGCACGACAAGUCAUGAAGUCGGCACGUUGGGGAGACACCGUGUCACAAUGACAAGGUUUCUAGUUCGUGCUUUGUUCAGAUUGCCCAGAAGCUGAUGAUCACAGAGAAGAGGUCAUAUUUGUCAUGAGAAAGCUUUCCUGCACCAGGAUUCAGUAAAGGCGUUUACCAGCAGGGCCCAUGGUGCCUCCAGAGGCAGGAUGGUGCUCAAAACCCAUCACUGAGGCCAGGAAGUGAGGACAAAAGUUGAGGGCUGCCCAUAGGAAAGAGAAAAAAUGCUCCCUUUGGGUUUCCAAGUAGUUACUGCUUAUUGUUGCAUCAGUCUUGCUCCUGACCACGAUGUGUUCCUUGUUCAUUCUCCUUGGUAUCCCACUGAUUGUGCAUCUAUGAAAAAGAAGACAGGAUCGGGGGUGGUGCAAAGAACAACUGCAUCCUUCUAGAGCUGAUGCCCUGGUGAGCUCUGAAGCACACUUAGCAGAGCCUGAAAUCUACUCUCCCUGUGGGGUGUUUGUGUAGCAUUCCUAUUAAUUAUUCAUUAAAUAUUUAGCAGAAUUUACCAGUGAAGCUAUCUGAACCUUUUUUAUGGGAAGGAAUUUUAUUAACCUCUUUACCUGUUGUGCCAUGAUUUCUGAGACUUUUCUAAAGAGAAUGAUCAAGAAUUUGCUGUAGUUAAGUGACAAAGAAUAUACCUGUGGACUGUAAACUGCACUCAUAAAAAUAAAAAGGAUA